This 429-nucleotide ribosomal RNA is filed under the name Bacteroidota bacterium. RNAcentral's name for it is "Bacteroidetes bacterium partial 16S ribosomal RNA". It matches the Rfam family "Bacterial small subunit ribosomal RNA", at positions 355 to 776 of the family's 1533-position model. Lineage: Bacteria; Pseudomonadati; Bacteroidota. The record is from RNAcentral.
UAGGGAAUCUUCGGCAAUGGGGGGAACCCUGACCGAGCAACGCCGCGUGAGUGAAGAAGGUUUUCGGAUCGUAAAGCUCUGUUGUUAAGGAAGAACGAGUGUGAGAAUGGAAAGUUCAUACUGUGACGGUACUUAACCAGAAAGGGACGGCUAACUACGUGCCAGCAGCCGCGGUAAUACGUAGGUCCCGAGCGUUGUCCGGAUUUAUUGGGCGUAAAGCGAGCGCAGGCGGUUAGAAAAGUCUGAAGUGAAAGGCAGUGGCUCAACCAUUGUAGGCUUUGGAAACUGUUUAACUUGGGUGCAGAAGGGGAGAGUGGAAUUCCAUGUGUAGCGGGGAAGUGCGUAGAUAUAUGGAGGAACACCGGUGGCGAAAGCGGCUCUCUGGUCUGUAACUGCCGCUGAGGCUCGAAAGCGUGGGGAGCGAACAGG